AUCGAUGAAGAAUAUAGCAAAAUAUGAUACUUGGUUUGAAUUGCAGAAUCCCAUUAACAAUUGAGUUUUUGAACGUAAGCUGUGCCCAAAGCCCUUAUUCCUAGGGCGCAUCUGCCUGGGCAUCACGCAUCUCAUCGCCCCCUCGCAUCAUACCUUAAUCCUUAGGUGCGCUGUCGUUGCGGGGCAAAUACUGGCCCCUUAUGGACCUCAAGCUUGCUGUUAGCCUAAAUAUGAGUAAACGACGAUAGACAUCACGGAAAAUGGCAGUUGUAACUUAAAUCUCUUUGUUAUCACGACUACAGCCUGUUCUGUGUCCAAAAUCUAGUACCCUAUCAAGCUUAGGUGCUUCGACUACGACCCCAGGUUAGGCAGGAUUACCUCCUGAGUGUAGGUAUAUAGUUUAGUAGAGGACAAAAAUUUCAAGGGUACCUUAGUAACAACGAUCGAAUCGGGAAUAGCCUAUCCUUAGAAUUGGGUUUCUCCAUCAUUUGAAUUGUUGUUUGCAAAAGAGUCCUCAGUGGCGGACUAGGACUAAGUUCCCUGAAAGAGAGCAUAUGAGAGGGUGAGAUCCCCAUUGUGCUUGGAAUAUGUCGCACCAUGAGGCGCUGUCUACAAGUCUUGUUGUUUAGAAAAGUAGCCUAAAUUUUGUGGUGAAUUCCAUCCAAGGUUAAAUACGGGUGAGAGACCAAUAUAAAACAAGAACCACAAGGUAUAGAUGAAAAUUUCUUUGAAAAGAGAGUCAACGAGUUCUUGGAAUUGUAUAGAGAAAAGUGGAUAGGGGCCGAUAAUACAACCCGAUCGGAUAUGGAAUGACGAUAAGAUAGUUUGAUGAUCGACUUGGGGCUUGGACUGGCGGUGCGAGAUAAAACAAAAGCCGAGUUACGAUGCAAAACUGCAUGCUAACAUAGAUCCUACAAACGGUGUUGGUCGAUUAUGACAACCAAACGGUGUUAAUCAAAGUUGAAAUCUUCUAAGGAGUAUGUAACAACUCACCUGCUGAAUUAACUAGCCCCAAAAAUGGAUGGAUCUUAAGUGUGUGACCUACACCCGUCCAUCGAGGCCAAUUACAUGCCUCGAUAACUUAGAGAGAACGAUAGUCGUCGAGAUCGAGUAGAGUGGCUGUUGGUACAGAUCUUGGUGGUAGUUGUAAAUAUUCAAAUGAGAACUUUGAAGUUUUAAGAGGGGAAAGGUUCCAUGUGAAUGACACUUGGACAAGGUUUAGCGUAUCCUAAGGGUUAGGGAAACCCCAACAGAUAGCGCAUAUCGCUCUUAUUAUGAAUAGGAAUCGGGUUAAAAUUCUUAAACCGAGAUGUGAUAGGAGAAAGUCCCGAGACAUAGGUGAAAGCCUUUUGAAGAGUUAUCUUUUCUAUUUAACAGCCUUCUCGCCCUUGAAUCGGCUCAGGCGAAGGUAGGUCCAGCUACGGGAAGAGCACUGCACGUUGUAAGGUAUCCGAUGUGCUCCUAGAGGCCCUUAAAAAUCUAUAUGACCAAAUAACGUCAACGCUUGAUUAUACGAUAGACCACAUCAGGUCUCUAAGGUGAAAAACCUCUGGUCGAUGGAAUAAUAUAGGCAAGGAAAGUUAGAAAAAUAAAUCCAUAACUUUUGGAAAAGGAUUGGCUCUGAGGGUUGGGCAUAGGGGUACCAGUACAGAACCUGUCGGCUGUCGGUAGACUUCUUGCGCUGCUCCCACGGCUAGAGUGGGUCACCUCAUAUUUGCUAAGUGACGGACCGGGAAUAGUUCCUUUAGGGUCCUUCCCUGCACGUUGAACAGAUAAUUUAGAAUGGGUACGGGCAAGGGCUAUCCAAAUAGUUAAUUAAAAUAAAGUAUUGUGAUGGUAUUAACGGAUGUUCACACAAUGUGAUUUCUUUCUUGUGCUCUAAAUGUCAAAGUGAAGAAAUUUAACCAAAUGUAGGAAAAUGACAGGAGUAACUCUGACUCUCUUACGGUAGCUAAAUUCCUCAUCAUCUAAUAAGAAAUGCAUAUUAAUGGAUUAACGAGAUUUUACUUGUCUACUGACCAGCGAAACCACAACCAAGGGAACAGGCUUGGCAGAACCAACGGUAAAAGCAGACCCUAUUGAGAUUGACUCUACUCCACUUUAUUAAAUCACUUGAGAGGUGUAGUAUAAGUAGGAGCCGAAAGGAGAGAGUGAAAUACCACUAUUAUCAACAUUAUUUUACUUAUUUUGUGAAUCAAAAGUGGAGACAUGCCCUUUAUUUUACUUAUUUUAUGAAUCAAAAGUGGGACACUGCCCUUCUUUUUGGACCCAAGGCUCGCUAUGUGGGCCGAUCCGGGAGGAAGACAUAGUCAGGUAGGGACUGGGGCUGGGGAGGCAUAUAUGUUAAAAUAUAAUGCAGUUGUACUAUGAUGAACUCAAUGAGAAUAGAAAUAUCAUGUGGAAAAGAAGGAUAAAAGCUUAUUUGAUUCUGAUUUCUAGUACAAAUACGAACCGGGAAAGAGUGGACUAACGAUCCUUUAGAACUUCUAAAUUCAAAGAUAGAGGUGUUAGAAAAUUUACCAUAGGUAUAAGUAUCUUUUGGAAGCUAAGCGUUCAUACCGACGUUGAUUUUUUAUCCUUUGAUGUCGGCUCUUCCUAAUUUUAUGAGGAGGAAUUCAUCGGGUGUUAGAUUGUUAACCCAAUAAUUGGGAAGGUGAGCUGGGUUUAGAACAUCAUGAGAUAGGUUAACUUUACCCUAAUGAUGAUAGUGUCAUAAUAUUAAUUCAACCUAGUGCUAGAGGAGUCAUUUGAUUCACUCAAUUGAUUAUCUCGCUCGGUUAAAACCCUAGUAGGGUGAAGCUACCAUGUACUAGAUUAUGAAUGAAUACCUCUAUGUUAAAAACUAGGCUAAAAGAAAUAUAUACUCUCGCUAUAUUCUUUCCAACCCAUAGUAGGGACCUCAUCCUCCAAGGGUACAUGUCGUUGGCUAAGCAAUCAUGGUAAAAGGGUCGCAUUGGCCGCCUUGAAGUAUAGUUUUCAUAGAGCGAUGGGUAGAAUACUUUGUAGA
RNAcentral lists this ribosomal RNA (3007 nucleotides) under Capsicum baccatum. Its description in RNAcentral is "bacterial LSU rRNA". The stretch from base 355 to 3007 matches the Rfam family "Eukaryotic large subunit ribosomal RNA". Lineage: Eukaryota; Viridiplantae; Streptophyta; Magnoliopsida; Solanales; Solanaceae. The record is from RNAcentral.